CGACGCCAGGUAAUGGGUUGGGAUCCUCCCUGGGGCUGUGGGUAUGUCAACGCGUCCCUAACCUUACCGAUGCCAAGUGCUAGGAAAUGACUGAAAAUAAAGAACCUUCCCAACCCGGUUUAGUCUCCCACGGCGGUGGAUCUUCUUGGGAGGAGGACUUUACUUGUGUCAUCAGGGGUAGGAAUUAAACACUGCCUCUGACUCACUCUGCUUCAUGACCACGUUAUUUAGUACAAUGACAAGUCAAUAAAUAAUUCUUAGGAAGAGAUUUGUAGAAUAAUACAUGCUUAUGUAAGAAUAUUUUAACUACCUGAAGGUGGGAAAUUUUAUCAAAAUAUUAUUUUAAAUUGAGAUUAAUGUUUAUUCUAUUGUUGAUCAUAGUGUAUAGUUUAUAUUUUUUCCAUUUUCGAUGGAAAUUGUCCAUCAAAACUUUCCCACCUCGCAUGCAAACAUGGAAUUCAGACAAUAUUCGUCCGAAAACCAUGUGCCUAAAGUGGGACAAAUAAUCAAAAUUGUCCCCAAAGUGAUUUAGAAAGUGAACAUAGGACUUAUAUAUCGUGCAAAGACCAUAAUAAAUAAAUAUAUUAUCGUACUUCAUAUUUCGAGACCCAUUAAUCCCUGAUCGAGAGACAUUAGUCAGGUCUCUGCUGAGAAUUUUUGAAAUAAAAAGCCAGAGGGGCUGAAAAUGGAUACAUUUAAAAUAAUGACUAGAUUUUAUAUCUUUAAAUGGACAAAAGGGGCAAUCCCUACCCUCAUGUAUGCCCAUUGACUCAGCCAUUUUUGGCGUUAGACCAGUAUUGUGCAAAAGUUUAUAAAUUACGUCUUUCUCUGGAUUACUCACCUCGCUUUUUUGAAGGGUAAGCCAGGCGGAAUUAUUUAAGGUGUCGAGUGAUACCUCAGACCAUUUUAUUUUUCGCACAAUACGAGUACAUAGUAAAUACUGCUUGGUUUUCACAAAAGAUUCAAACUCACCCCCGUUGCCGUAUUUUAGGCAUCGAAAUGUGAUACACUCUUGAGAUAGUACAUAAGUGUCAAUAAUAUUACGCAAAAUACUACUCUCACAAGAAAUUAACCUUUGAGAUGGAAAGCGAGGCAUGUUUUGGGAAAAAUCGAAUCUAAUAAAAUCCCCAAUGGUUUCACACCCCAAUUGAAUUAAACAUGGAAAACUAUUAUUUUUCAAAAAAAUUGAAUUACUAAGCGGGAUAAGGUGAAAAAUAUUGUGAGGGAUUAGUUCAAAACUGAGACCAAGUAUUUGUACAUAUUUGCAAAAAUUGUCAUAAAAAGAAGUACAAUAAUCUGGUUCAUUCUUUAGGAGAAUGUUGAAAACAUUUUUACGUGCAAAGUUACAAAAAUACGAGUCGCUCGAAUUUAGGACUUUGCAUGCAAA
Long non-coding RNA from Folsomia candida, 1387 nucleotides. RefSeq lists it as uncharacterized. The record is from RefSeq and is a predicted model, not a curated record. The transcript is spliced from 2 exons. Lineage: Eukaryota; Metazoa; Arthropoda; Collembola; Entomobryomorpha; Isotomidae.